Molecule: ribosomal RNA, 470 nt
Filed under: Corynebacterium sp. oral taxon B00
Lineage: Bacteria; Bacillati; Actinomycetota; Actinomycetes; Mycobacteriales; Corynebacteriaceae
Description: bacterial SSU rRNA
Rfam family: Bacterial small subunit ribosomal RNA
Source: RNAcentral
GACGAACGCUGGCGGCGUGCUUAACACAUGCAAGUCGAACGGAAAGGCCCGCAUCAUUUUGGUGGGGGUGCUCGAGUGGCGAACGGGUGAGUAACACGUGGGCGAUCUGCCCUGUACUUCGGGAUAAGCUUGGGAAACUGGGUCUAAUACCGGAUAGGACCAUGGUUUAGUGUCUCAUGGUGGAAAGAUUAUUGUUUUGGUGCAGGAUGAGCUCGCGGCCUAUCAGCUUGUUGGUGGGGUAAUGGCCUACCAAGGCGUCGACGGGUAGCCGGCCUGAGAGGGUGGACGGCCACAUUGGGACUGAGAUACGGCCCAGACUCCUACGGGAGGCACAGUGGGGAAUAUUGCACAAUGGGCGCAAGCCUGAUGCAGCGACGCCGCGUGGGGGAUGACGGCCUUCGGGUUGUAAACUCCUUUCGUUAGGGACGAAGCCGCACCUUUUUGGGUGUGUGACGUACCUUUGUUAAGAG